This 248-nucleotide unclassified non-coding RNA is filed under the name Hevea brasiliensis (rubber tree). Lineage: Eukaryota; Viridiplantae; Streptophyta; Magnoliopsida; Malpighiales; Euphorbiaceae. The record is from RNAcentral.
GGUUGACAUAGCAUGUCCUCUAUGGAAUCCUCAGCAUUCUCUAACAUCCAAUGGAAGGAGCGGAAACCACACUGGAUCAUGAAUCAGGUGCUGGAAUACUUUCUGAUUUACUGCCAUCUGUAGCUAUUUUAGUAGCUUAGUAUAGCGAUUCCAUACAUUGGUUUUUUUUACGGAGUUUACAUUGCAAUAACAUUUCUUUUCAUAAAUGUACUACUGUUAAUUGCAAAAAGAUGUAAUCUCACUUAUUC